CCCUAUGGGGUGAAUGGGGAUCGGGCUGUUCUGAGCGGAUGCCCUGGCUGUGGUGUAUUCGGCGAUCUUGUGAGUGUUUAUAAGGAUCUUGCGGUUUUCGAAAAUGGCCUUUGUUAUCUUGUAUACCAGGUCUUCGGGUGUGUCCUUAUGGCAGACAACAGAGCUCCAGACCGAAACGGUGAGGAUAUCCUCCGUCUGGCCCUUGUAUGUGUUCUUCGCCAGGGUGUAGCUCCCGUAGAACGGGUAGGCCUUUGAGACCUUGUCGACCUCUUCUUUUGUGAAGGGUAUGAACCUCAGGUCGUGAGUUGUCGAAAUGUCGAUUAUUGAUGAUGUGGGAGGUGCGACAUCCCAGAUCCCGACAUCAAUGAUGCCGUCUUUCAGCUGUGUUGAAUUUUCGGCAAAGGAGAGC
This 409-nucleotide ribosomal RNA is filed under the name uncultured prokaryote. Its description in RNAcentral is "partial 16S ribosomal RNA". The record is from RNAcentral.